UCCCUGGUGUCUCAGAUGGUAAAGAAUCUGCCUAAAGUGCAGGAUACCCGGGUUCAAUCCCUGGGUCGGGAG
This 72-nucleotide transfer RNA is filed under the name Bos taurus (domestic cattle). It matches the Rfam family "tRNA". From Rfam's summary of the family: Transfer RNA (tRNA) molecules are approximately 80 nucleotides in length. Lineage: Eukaryota; Metazoa; Chordata; Mammalia; Artiodactyla; Bovidae. The record is from Rfam by way of RNAcentral. RNAcentral also lists the same sequence under 5 other names.